Molecule: RNA transcript, 2235 nt
Organism: Malus domestica (apple)
Lineage: Eukaryota; Viridiplantae; Streptophyta; Magnoliopsida; Rosales; Rosaceae
Gene name: putative ABC1 protein At2g40090
Source: RefSeq, a predicted model, not a curated record
CACCUUUGGCUCUUUUCUGGCAACGCGCCUAUGCCAAAAACAUGGCCACGCGAUCCUUAUGGAGAGCCACGAAGCUCGCGCUGUCGGCGACCGCCCUCAUCGGCGGCGGUGCGGCGGCGGCGGAUGUCGCCACCUCCGACGACCCCGCCAUGACUUACAAGCUCUACAGCACUGUUCCCCCACGCCUUGUUCGCGGCGCCGUGACAGCCGCUGCCAUCGCCUUCGAUUAUGAGUACUCACUGUUGGGGCUUCCUGAAGGAAGCAAUGAGAGGGAAAAAGCUAAGCAUGAAGUUCACCUCAGGUCUGCGCUUAAACUUCAAGAAUUGUGUUUCAAAAAUGGAGGAAUAUAUAUCAAGCUCGGUCAGCAUCUCGGGCAGCUGGAAUACUUGGUACCUCAAGAGUAUGUCCAGACAAUGAGGGAGUCCAUGUUGAACAAAUGUCCGGUUUCUUCGUACGAACAAGUGCAUGAAGUCAUCAAAAAAGAGCUCGGAGAUAGUCCCGAUAAAAUAUUUUCUGAAUUUGAUCCUGUUCCAAUAGCAAGUGCUUCCCUUGCACAAGUCCAUAUUGCUCGCGAUCACAAUGGCGAAAAAGUGGCUGUGAAGGUUCAGCACACUCACAUGACAGAUACUGCAGCUGCGGACUGUGCUACUGUGAACUUUAUUGUGAACACCCUGCACCAGAUUUUUCCUUCUUUUGAUUACAGGUGGUUGAUUGAGGAGAUGCGGGAAAGUUUACCCAAGGAACUGGAUUUUAUAAACGAGGCCAAGAACAGUGAGAAAUGCUUGGAAAACUUUCAGAAGUUCUCUCCUCAUAUUGCAGCUUAUGUAUAUGCGCCAAAGGUGUAUUGGAGUUUAAGUACCUCAAAGUUAUUGACCAUGGAAUACAUAGAUGGUGCACAAGUAAAUGAUGUGAAGACCAUCAAAAGACUCGGAAUGCGCCCUGAUGAAGUUGCAAGGCUAGUUAGUGAAUCUUUUGCAGAAAUGAUGUUCAAACACGGGUUUGUGCAUUGUGACCCCCAUGCUGCCAACUUGUUAGUUCGUCCUCGGCCUGGUAGUGGAAAGAGCUUUCUAGGAAAGAAAGAACCACAAUUGAUACUUCUAGACCAUGGUCUGUAUAAAGUUCUUGACUCCGAGACCAGAACUAACUAUGCUGCACUAUGGAAGGCAUUGAUUUUUUCUGAUGCCAAUGCAAUAAAAGAAUAUAGUGCAAAAUUAGGUGCUGGAGAGGACUUGUAUGCAUUAUUUGCAGGGAUUCUUACCAUGAGGCCUUGGGAUAGGGUCAUUGACCCAGCCAUUGAUCAUUUGAUUAUACAAGGCACUGAAAGCGACCGUUCCGAACUGCAGAUGUAUGCUUCUCAGUAUUUUUCUCAAAUCUCACAGCUUUUGAGGAGGUUGCCGCGCGAGAUUCUUUUAAUGCUGAAGACAAAUGAUUGUUUGCGAUCAGUUAGCAAUGCUCUGUUGCAGGUACCUUCUCUUGAGACAUUCAUGAUCAUUGGAAGGGUUUCUUCUGAAGCCAUCAUUGAGGCAAAACUAUCACAAAAGAGAUCCUUCCUACGUUGGUUGAGUGCUUGGUUAGACAGAAUCAUAUUAGAAGUUCGACUUUUUACAAUUCAAGUAGCAUUGUGGCUUAUACGGGGAAGGAGAGCUUUAUCUUGGGAAAUCUGAGAAGAUACUGCAGAAACACAAUUUCUUUGACUUGCGAACUCAGGAAACCCAAAGUUUGGUGAAAUUAUGGUUACUUCUUUGUUCAUUACCCAAAAAUGGGCAUACACAUUCUUUGUCUCCAUAGAUCAAGCCGCUUCAUCUACAAGCGGGGUCUCUGAAAAUGGAUUGACAGGUGUUCUAUGCAGUGUGCCCAAAUCCCUUGCUUCACAACAUGCUUCUUAAAUGCGAAGGCUCCAUGGCAAAGGGGUUGUUUGGCUGCAGACUGAGACCCUUUUGGAUUGUGAACAUUGGCAACAAGAAGUGCACACUUUUGCUUCACCCUUCCAUGGAAGUGUAACCUCCAAAGAAAACGACCGCAACUUUGAUCGGUCCAUGCUAUACUUAGGUCAGUUGGAAUUGCUUUGGUAGGAAACACUUUUCCUUAUUUAUGUCAGGCACUGCUAGAAGGGUUUUUCAGUAUUUGAAAGCGCUUUUAGUCAUUCCUACGAUUUCCAAUUCGGACCCUGGUUGUUUCCGUCUAACAUUUAUGAUUUCCCUAGCAGAGAAGUACAAGGUCAGUGCUUGGUAGAUA